Molecule: ribosomal RNA, 254 nt
Filed under: uncultured bacterium
Lineage: Bacteria
Description: partial 16S ribosomal RNA
Rfam family: Bacterial small subunit ribosomal RNA
Source: RNAcentral
UACGAGGGGAGCAAGCGUUGUUCGGAUUUACUGGGCGUAAAGGGCGCGUAGGCGGCCACGACAAGUCACUUGUGAAAUCUCCGGGCUUAACUCGGAACGGUCAAGUGAUACUGUCGGGCUAGAGUACAGAAGGGGCAACUGGAAUUCUCGGUGUAGCGGUGAAAUGCGUAGAUAUCGAGAGGAACACCUGCGGCGAAGGCGGGUUGCUGGGCUGAUACUGACGUUGAUGCGCGAAAGCCAGGGGAGCGAACGGG